UGAACUCACAGAGAUCCAUUUGCUUCGGCCUCCUGAGUGCUGGGAUUAAAGUCAUAUGUCACCACUGCCCAGUUUAGAAUAGUUUUCCUUUUUUUUUUUUUUUUCCAGACAAUUUCUCUGUGGCCUGGUCUACAAGAGCUAGUUCUAGGACAACCUCCAAAGGCACAGAGAAACUCUGUCUCCAAAAACCAAAAAAAGAAAAAAUAGAAAAGAAAAGAAGAAGAAGAAGAAUUGGUAAGGUGAGAGUCUUGGAAAAUGGAAGCAGAAUCAUCCUUGCCCCUUACUGCUUUGUUAGCCGACACCGUUUCCCUCUUGGUGAUUCCUGGUUUCUGAGUUUUGGUUCCUCAUCCAUGAAAGAGAAGCAGUCAUGGGUUUGUAAAGUCUUUUGUCACCCAAUCGUGGUCAUUCCUACAAACCAGUCACAGCCUCUAUGACACCAUCAAAAGGAGAUUUCAGAACGAGCUAGAAUGCAUCACCUGGCAGAAAGCAGCUUGGUGACGACCUGGAGCUAGUUGUGGGGGAAUAAAUGACUGAAAAGGGCUCCCGGAACCUCAGGGGAGGGGUGUGGUGAUGCCCAGGUGGCUGUGUACCUUUGUGAGAAACAUACCUUACUGAGCGAGCACUUAAAAUGCCUGCUGUGUCUUGUGUGUAUAAACUACCCCUGGG
RNAcentral lists this long non-coding RNA (666 nucleotides) under Cricetulus griseus (Chinese hamster). RNAcentral describes it as "lncRNA (ENSCGRG00015029057.1)". The record is from RNAcentral. Lineage: Eukaryota; Metazoa; Chordata; Mammalia; Rodentia; Cricetidae.